UCAGCCUUGCAGUGGAGGAUUGAUUUCCUUAAACCCAAACCAUUCUUACUCUUGCCUGAUGUGACAGUGCAUGCCUUUGCUGCAGUCUUGCUGUUGCUGUCUGCUGAAGUCRUCUUUCCAAUGCUGAUGUUGGGCUUGGGGAGAGAUGAGGUGCUUUCUCACUGCUUAAUGAGUCUGUCACAGCCUGCAGAGUCCUCUGGAGAUGUGCAGUUUUUCCAGAAAACCUCCUCCUAGAUGGAUGUGUGAAAAUGAUUUAAAGGGAAUGGCAGUUCUCUGGGACCAAUCAAAAAAGAAAAGGCAGAAAUACAGGAAUGAGGCCUUCCCUCAUGCCAAGUCAAUGAAGACCAGCUUCCAGRUCUAAUUUAAAGCCUCCUUAACUUCAUUAGUGUUAAGGCUGUCCUCCAGUGGUGGAGGAACAGGAUUGAUGGCCGUAAAAUGGAGACCUAUGUGUCAUGAGUUGGAUCCUCUUGUCUGGUGCUUCGAGUGACUCUUGGUGAGUCUGGGCUUACCUUUGGCAAGAAAGUGGAGACACUGGAAAUGAGAUGAGUGGAUUAAAGACUGUUGAGAGCAGGAUGGGGAUGCUGGCAUGGGAUCUUCGGUGCAAAGAGAUGCCUGGCCAUGGGCAGUCAAGGUCCCAGUGAACUAUUUAAGAGGUCAGACCUAUCUGACUGCUUUUUCCAGACUCAUGAGAUUUUUUGAGAAACCUGAGCUGCUCAGUGAAACACUGUGACUUCCUGCUGCCUCUCGAAUUUACCAGUAGCUUCACAGUAAAUAUACUGUUAUGAUAAUGCUAAACCAGAGGAGUAGAUAAUCUGAAAACAAAUUUAACACUCUUAUUGUGCUAAUAGUUCACAUCACCUCUUCCAUUUUUCUGGGAGUAAUCCUGCACUGCUACACCCAGGUGGGAAGGAAUACUGGCUUUCACAGGAGUGUUGUUAACGUAACGGAGCAUGAAUUGUAUUUGCACUAGUGGUUCCAKCAGAAAGGUGCAUUGAGAAUCUGAGUGACUUUUCUUGUGACUUCCACCUAGGAAAUAAAACACAAUUGAGGGAGAUCUUUGUUUCACACUCACAAAACAGAGUUUUUUGUUGUUUGCCUAAUUCCCUGCUCCUUAUGCAUGGUUGGUAGAGCAGGCAGUUCCUUUGGAUGUAACUGUAGAGGUGUUAACACAAUGCACCUCCRGUCCAGAGCAGAAACUUGAGGUAACAGUACCCCUCUGGUAUUCACAGGUAGGUUUGUGAACCUGAUGAAAAGUCAGCUCUUCACRCUUGUGGUUUUGGCUGUAUACAGGCUGCACACACAAAUGUGUCCCAUGUGAAGUGCUGGUUUGAGAUGCAUGGCGUUGGGAGGAGAAAAAGGUACCUCCUAGGCGAGAGCCUGUUCUUGUGCCUGCCUCCUGGCAGCCUUCAGUUUUCAGUGUGCAUCUCUCAUCGCUGGCAACAAGGGAGCACUCUUCUUCCAACUCAUCUGGAGCUAAUAAGGCUGGAGCCUCUGUAAUUGAAACGGGGAGGAUUUGGCAUGCUGUGCCAUAGGGGCCAUAGGAACACC
This is a long non-coding RNA of Nothoprocta perdicaria, 1548 nucleotides long. RefSeq lists it as uncharacterized. Lineage: Eukaryota; Metazoa; Chordata; Aves; Tinamiformes; Tinamidae. The transcript is spliced from 2 exons. The record is from RefSeq and is a predicted model, not a curated record.